This 404-nucleotide ribosomal RNA is filed under the name uncultured bacterium. RNAcentral's name for it is "partial 16S ribosomal RNA". It matches the Rfam family "Bacterial small subunit ribosomal RNA", at positions 355 to 776 of the family's 1533-position model. The record is from RNAcentral. RNAcentral also lists the same sequence under 1 other name.
UGGGGAAUAUUGGACAAUGGGCGCAAGCCUGAUCCAGCAAUGCCGCGUGAGUGAUGAAGGCCUUAGGGUUGUAAAGCUCUUUCACCCACGACGAUGAUGACGGUAGUGGGAGAAGAAGCCCCGGCUAACUUCGUGCCAGCAGCCGCGGUAAUACGAAGGGGGCUAGCGUUGUUCGGAAUGACUGGGCGUAAAGGGCGCGUAGGCGGUUGACCAAGUUGGGGGUGAAAGCCCGGGGCUUAACCUCGGAAUUGCCUCCAAAACUGGUCGGCUUGAGUGUGGAAGAGGGUUGUGGAAUUCCCAGUGUAGAGGUGAAAUUCGUAGAUAUUGGGAAGAACACCAGUGGCGAAGGCGACAACCUGGUCCAUUACUGACGCUGAGGCGCGACAGCGUGGGGAGCAAACAGG